Molecule: non-coding RNA, 108 nt
Organism: Acanthosepion pharaonis
Lineage: Eukaryota; Metazoa; Mollusca; Cephalopoda; Sepiida; Sepiidae
Source: the annotation of a GenBank genome assembly
GGUCACAUCCCGUUUAAAUACCGGUUCUCGUACGAUCACUGAAGUUAAGCAACGUCGAGACUGGCCAGUACCUAGAUGGGUGACCACUUUGGAAUACCAGGUGCUGUA